RNAcentral lists this long non-coding RNA (1882 nucleotides) under Brachypodium distachyon (stiff brome). RNAcentral describes it as "long non-coding RNA (BDIS_LNC002625)". Lineage: Eukaryota; Viridiplantae; Streptophyta; Magnoliopsida; Poales; Poaceae. The record is from RNAcentral.
CAUUAGCAAGAACUUUUAAAGACGAAUCCAUUGAUAUAAAUUUCAUGUAUGAAAAAAGACAUAUCAAUAGAGUUUUAAUUGGUCAAAUGUUUGUCUUAACGAAACAAAAUACGCCAACCUUUGUAAAAUGGAAGGAGUAUGGAUCACUUUGCUGCCUUUUUCGAACACUGGGAGAGGAAUUCUGCAUGGUCUGUUUUCUAUCCUUGAAAGAGCAUGGCAUUGUGUCAGCUAGAGUUGCACAAGUGCAGAGAUAAACUUGCCCACUGCACGCAAAUAGUCUAAUUGCGACAUGCAGAAAUUGAGGGCACAUGUCAAUAAUAAAAACAGACAAAGAGAGUUAAAUUAAAAGCCCCACAAAAAAAGAGAGUUAAAUUAAAAGCCCCACAAAAAAGAGAGUUAAAUUAACAACAUCAAUAAAGGAUUGGCAACAAUUCUAACAAAGAUAAAUUUUUGGUGGUCAUAAUGCUUGCCUGUUUAACUCUCUGGGUCAUGAGAUUAUCCACCACACAACGAUAUGCAUUGAGUAACAACAUAGAAGAGACAAUAAUUUGAAGCUGCAUAAAAAUUUGUGAUUAGGAAGAAAAAGAUUACCUCUUUUGUUAUGGUGCCCUUGUGUUUUCAAUGCAGCUAAGGGAGACAAAAAUUUGAAGCUGCAUAAAAAUUGUUGCCUGUUGGCAAAGCUAGAUAAAAGUAGAGGGCAAUUGGUGACCGCAAAGCUAGCAAAUCCAUAGGUAAUAAAAGUAGAGGGUAUUGGUGCCGGUACACCAUUACAAAGCUAACAGACCUAUUGCUAUAUGGUUAGGCCAACCAGCUAGGGAUGACCAGCUCACUCGAACGCUGUCGGUUCUUUAGAAACAAGUCAUUCUUCAUACACUUUUCUCCCAAAAAUCUACAUGUUUCUUCACAUAAACUUAGCAUUGCUCCUGAAGCUCCAGAAUCCCAAAAUGUACCAAUAUGUACAAGUAUUUUCACUGCUGCUGGUAAGAUGGUGCCAUCAGAAAAUGAGAAUCACCUAUUUUUCACCUCAGAUUUACAUUUGUUCACUCUAAGUCUUAACUAUGACAACCACUUGUUAACCAUUGAAGGAAAGAUUUCAAAGCAAUCAUGGAUUAGUAAUAGUAAAUCUUGAGUGGAUAUUGUUAAAUUAAGGAAAAGCAUUGUCCUUGUAACUUCUCCGGUACUCCAGAAAUCAACCAAAAAAAAACUCAUUGCAACAACAAAUCUACCUUCCUGAUUAUAUUUCGAAAACAUAUGUGUUCGUGUGUAGUAUUCCUGUGCAGGCCUAGCUAAGCUUCAACCUAAUUUGAUUGGUCCCCUGCAAUAAUAGACGCAUCUUGAAUAACUCAAACUCUAUUAUGCUAUUCUACACUAAAAUUGAAGAAUGAGCAAACAAUGUAUUGAUUAAAUUUGAUCCACCUAUAUUGUUUUUUUUAUAGAGACAGGUUGACCCAAAAAAGGUGGCCACCUCUUCAAUCAAUAAUAGAAGUGCAUAUGUUCAGCAAGCAUCUUCGACAGUGAUAUGUUCAACACGUUUGGACUCACCAGGUAUUAAAACAGACGGGCAUGACGGAGAAGUGGGGCGGCGACGGCGGGGCGAGACGACUCGGCGUCGGGCCUGGACGAAUCGGUGGCGGCGCCUGCAGGGGAAGAGGCACGGCCGUGGGGGUCAGAGGCGGAGGGGCAUUGAAUUGAACCACGAAAUUGAUGGUUGACGGGGUCCGAAAUUGGUAACCUCGAAAGGGGCCGAAAUUGCUAACCUCGAUGGGGAGGGGGGGAGAUCACAGGGAUGGCGAGACGUCGGGGUCCCAGUCGCGACAGUGGACAGCGGGGGCUUGCGAUGGCACGAGGGAGGACGGCGGACGACAGAGGACGACGGGGUCGC